ACUUGUUACAAUGCUUUUUAUUUAAUGCAAAUACAAGCGAUCAAUUGGUUCGUGAAUCUCCCAAGUCUGUCCUUAAAAACAGCAAAUCAGAAAAAGGGUGGAAAGCGUAAUUUGAAUUUUCUUGGAAGUGAUUUCUAGUAUUUGCAACUUGACUAUUUGAUUUGAAACUUGAUGUAUUUGAAUUUGUGGACACAGAAGCAUAAAGGCCAUAAAUAGGCUCCCUGGCUUCACAUUCCACAGGUCAGGAACGACCUUCUCCAGCGGACCAGACACAUCUUCCGGAAGCCCUCCUUCUACAGACUGGGCAGGAGGUGGGCACAGCUGUCUCCAAGGCAGCGUGAGACCCACCUGAGCUCCCCUGCUCCCGCUCGUGCCACCUGAGCCACGUGGCCCCCCCAGAUCUGGCAGCGAGUGUUCCUCUGAGGAGAACCCCACCGAGGGUAGAAUUUCCAUUCUCAGUUCCAAUCACAGUGAUAAUGUCAGCACUUGCUUUCUGAGGCAGAUGUUCCACCCAGAACUGGCAGCAUCACAUGCGCGACAAUCACAGCACACCGCAGGGAAGGGAUCUAGAUGUGGCCGCGCUCUUUGGGUGGGUGGCACAGAUGGUCAGGCCACCCUCCCAUGAUAGGUCUCAUUUGCCCCAGUGAGGAACAGAUUUAACGAAGGGCAGCCUUUGCGAAGGAUAGUGGACAAGGCUUCGUAUUUUUAAAUGUAGUGGAAGCUUAAGAAAACCCCAAUGCUCCUGGUCAGUUUGUUUUUUCUGGGCUAAGGGUCUACACAGCUAGGAGAGCACACGCUUCGUGACCGAGAACUGACUUUCCUAAAUGAAGAUUACCAGCAGUCCUGGGACCAGUCAGCUAACUGUAUGCUUACUAUUGCAGGAGCAAUGACGGGGGCCACUAAAAACUGCCCCUGGAAAGAGGUUUAAAUUUUCCAUUCACAAAGCAAAUCAAGCUUCCUAAUUAGCUACAACACAGCCGGAAAGCUCAGCGCCUACUGUCCUGCCAAAGCCCUGCCUCCACUGCCCUGCACGACGCGCACGUCUCUGCUGCAGGAACUGCGUGUCGGUUUUCUCCAGUUCACUCGUGUUCAAAGAACUCGUGGCAGGCAGUGGUAACCAUGGCGACAAAAGCCAUGAAUUCCUGGAAGUCACACUCGCCAUCUCCAUCGCUGUCCAGUGUCUCCAUGACUUUGUCCACGACCUCCUGCUCUUUGAUUUCCUGAGAGAUAAGAGAAGCUGUUGAGCUUGUUUCUAAAUGAAAUUUGGGGCCAUCGAAUGUGAUGAGAAGGUGUCUGGCCUUAAUAAUGUGUCUCAGAAACAACCUAAGAAUGCUAUGGAAAGACCAAAGACCAGAAAAGACUCUUGUGAUCAGGAGGCUGUUGGCUGGGAGACGUGUCUAGGGGUCUGAGCCUUCUCUUCCACUUUCCUGUAGGCCUGGAGGGACCUGGGCUACUUCCAAAAACUGAGUGGACUAGACAGGAUCUGAAAAACGGCAGGUCGUUUGUGUUAAAACGCCCAAAACAGUCUAGAUCAGCCUGAGCACAUUAUAUGCAAAUGUUUUGAAAACAAUAAUGAACUGUUGGCCCCUGUACGUUCUCAUUGUUUGUGGACAGGGCAACUAAGCCUACUCGGGACUGACCGCGUCGUGAAGGCUUCCCGUGGACUUCCGAGUUUUGAAAGUGGUUUUUGGCUGAAAUGACUCGGGAACACGCCCUAACGGUAUUAACCUCGCAAGGGGUUUUGCCACUUGAGUUGCUUUCAGGUGUUUGGGGACAUUUCCCAACCUUCUGCCCCACACGGAACCGGGUGGUGAAACAGCCUCGGAGGGACGGACACGGGGCAGGAAGGCUGUACCCUGCACACUGAGGAGGAGCAUAAAGGCCUGCUGGUUCUGAAUCACCAGCCCAGGCAGCAGAGCCUGUGACGCAGAAUGUACAGCGGCUGCCUUGGGGCAAAACAAUGAGAGACCGAGGUUCCCGUGGGGGUUGGGGUGGGACAUCUGCUCAAAGAGGAACUUUAAAUACUUGAUAGAUUUGCCUUCAAACCAGCAGUGCUCAUGACACCUUGAUACACUCACCAGGAAUUACUCAUCUUUUUUUUUUUUUUUUUUCUUUUCAGGGCCACACCCUCAGCACAUGGAGGUCCCCAGAAAUAGCAAAAAAGACAAAAAAUAAAUAAAUAAAUAAUAAAAAUAAAAGCAAACUCACCUCCAGGAAGUGGGAAAGCUCGCUGUUGAUGAGCUCCUUGAGUUCGGAUUUCUUCAGCUUGUGCUUGUCCCCCUCCCUCCCAGAAUACUGAUGGAAGACGUCAAUCAGGGCCACCACGGCCUUCUCCAGCUCCGACAUCCCGGGUCCUCCUAGGGCAGAGAGGUCCAGGUGUCGCCCGUGCCGCCCUCAGCCCUGGCUCCCUUCCUUUCAGGCUUGGAGUUGUUUGAGUCUCCCGCCCCCUGGGCCCCCUCCCUCUCCCUUCUCCGUCCUCUGUUCUCCUGCCAUUGGGCUGCUGGCUGAAUUCGGCCAAUAGACAUUUCAGGCAAAAUACAGAGGCCGAGCAGUGAAGGGGAGACGCUGUUGGAAUUGGUCUGGAAGAGGUCGUUGAUCUGAACUAUGGAGUCCACAGCGUCCUAAUUCUCACAAUAAAGAUGAGAAAACAGUGGAAAAGUCCUAUUUCCACAGCAACAUACACAUAUUUCCAAGGAUGAGUUUGGCAAGAAAAGUGCAGGACCUUCCAAAAGAUACUAAGAUCACAAAAUGGAGGAACUUACUUUCCUUUGGAUGAAUAUAUAAAUGUGACUCAUUUUUAAAAAAACUUUUUUAAUACAAAUAUUGAUGGCAAUUUUUUUGAUAGGCAAGAAAUCGAUUUAUUAAGACAGGACACUCGGGCGAGAUGCAAGCGGGCCCGCAAGCAGUCUCUGCCGAUGGCAUUUUUUUGAUGGGUGAAGAACACGACCAAAAAACAGCUGUAAAAUUCAACUGGAAAAGUAAAUAUGGUGGCAUUGCCACAGAAUUUUCUGAAAAGGAUCAAGGAAAGUUACUUGACCUUCCAAAAACAAACCUGUAUUGCCGGCUGUCUGAUGAAAACAGGGCUGUGCAGUGAAGCUUGCCUCCCCAAAAUGUCUCUUUGGUACAGGAUUAUUUUGAGCCGAAAACAAACAAGCCCAGAAGACUCAGGAAGAAGCUCUGGCAUCCGCCGUAGCUGCCUGAAUCAGAAUCUAGAUGGAGGGCCAGUUUCGGGACGUGCUCACAAGAGAUGCAGCCAAGCAGGCCGCCGGGUGAGGACUCGCAGGCACCUGGCCCCCUCUGGCCCUCCUCUGCGCGGCAGCGCGAACAGUCGCUUUACCAAAACUUUGCUUCUCCAUCGCGGUCAGAACGGCCUUCCUCCCCCGCCUCGUCCAAAGCCACGCUCCCCGGACGCCCUCCUUUGUCCUUAGCUGUUGAUGGUACUUGGGGCGAGGGUUUGGGCCGUUUUGAGGAGUUGCUGGGUUUUCCUGGGUCUUUCCCAGGUAUGCAUGUUACUAAACUUGGUUUGGGUUUUUCCUGCUAACCUGCCUCAUGUCUCUUUGAUUCUUGGGCCCUGGAGGAGGAAAAUGGCCUCCUCCGACGGCUCUGAGGCCAGCAAGUGGGGCCGGAGGCUGGGCCGCAGCCAGGUGCUUUGUAUUCACGGAGGCGCUGCCUCCAGCGACCAGGAUCGCUGCCGCUCUCUGCGCUCAUCCAGUAGGAAGCUUCUGUCGCCCCUCAUGUCCCUUGCACCAUGGCCUGCGACCUAAGGAAACAGCUGGUACCCUGGGAAUGAGGCAGUGUACAAAGGACUGCUUGUCAACUGUUUCACAAAGCUGAGCCACACAGCCAGAGAAGUUUACCGACGUUUGGCCUUGAGUUC
This 3877-nucleotide long non-coding RNA is filed under the name Sus scrofa (pig). RNAcentral's name for it is "lncRNA (ENSSSCG00015004886.1)". The record is from RNAcentral. Lineage: Eukaryota; Metazoa; Chordata; Mammalia; Artiodactyla; Suidae.